RNAcentral lists this ribosomal RNA (130 nucleotides) under Tricholomataceae sp. RNAcentral describes it as "partial large subunit ribosomal RNA". It matches the Rfam family "Eukaryotic large subunit ribosomal RNA", at positions 99 to 224 of the family's 3401-position model. The record is from RNAcentral. Lineage: Eukaryota; Fungi; Basidiomycota; Agaricomycetes; Agaricales; Tricholomataceae.
CGGGAAGAGCUCAAAUUUAAAAUCUGGCAGUCUUUUUGGCUGUCCGAGUUGUAAUUUAGAGAAGUGUUGCCCGCGCUGGACCAUAUACAAGUCCUCUGGAAUGGGGUGUCAUAGAGGGUGAGAAUCCCGU